Molecule: long non-coding RNA, 1978 nt
Organism: Lethenteron reissneri (Far Eastern brook lamprey)
Lineage: Eukaryota; Metazoa; Chordata; Hyperoartia; Petromyzontiformes; Petromyzontidae
Source: RefSeq, a predicted model, not a curated record
AUGGCAGAGGCAGCGUCUGGGUGGAGGGAGGACAAAGAGGGCAAGGAAGGGAGAGAGGAGGGGAUCCGGGAGAUUAUGGAUGUGGAGUCUAGUAAGCAGAGAUUACACGAAAGAAAGUGGUGCUCUGCAAACCUUCUGGCUACCAUCAAAGGUUUGUACACGAAGCCAUCCAGAUAUACAAACACAGACAUAACUUCAACCGUGAUAAUGGGUACAGACUGAGUAAUCAUUGGAAACAUGUUAUUAACCAUGUAAAAAAAAUUAACUACACAUAUUUGUACCAUCUUAUUUGACAGGUACUAUUCUACUUUACCGAGUGUUGACAUCACCAGCGUUUAACAGUACUGCUAUUUUGUAUUUUGGAUUUGUCAGCUAACACCGGCCGUAGCCCCGGGCUGAGGUGCACUAAUUGUUCCCUUCUAGCCCCCCCACCCCACCGUCCAGUGGGAUUUGGCAGCCAACAUCGGCCUCAACCCCAAGUUGAGGUGCACCAAGUGUUCCCUUUUAGCGCCCCCCCCCCCACCGUUCCAUUCCCUGACUACCACAUUCAGAUAAGCCCCUCCCCCCCUCCCCCUUAACAUGUAUUUAAGAGCUUGUCUCUUGGAUUUUUCCUCACUUGAUACAGUAAAUUUAGCUGUGACGGUCCCACCUGAUGACGGAGACUUGUGUUGCCUCCGAAACGUCGUGAUUUAUUAUUUUAUUUCUAUUUUUAUUAUUAUUUAUUCUUUAUUUUUACCUACGUGACUUUACCGAAAAAACCUAAGAGUAUGAAUCCAAGAUAACUGUUUCCCCCGCAGUGAACAAAAAGUUGCAUCGUGUGACUCAGAUGGAAGGGCAAGAUCUGAAGCUGAGCUGUACCUUCACAGUGGCACGUGUGUUUACUUCACUACGUUGGGAAUACAAAACUUUGAAUGAGCUUAAAGAAAGAGAAACCAUUUUAUUCUGCUCUGAGAAACAAAAUCCUCCUUGCCCCGAGUCUCCGUUGUUUCCCCGAGUGGAGUUUUCUGGAGACCUGAAGAAUGGGGAUGGCUCCAUCACCAUCAAGAAAGCCACCAACGAUGACAGUGGUGUCUAUAGCUGUGACAGCUUCGACUGGAAUACAACACAUCAAACCGUGGUGGAGAUCUUGAGCACCACAAGUACCGCAAACUCACCCAUCUCCUCGUCCUCAGUCACUCCAAGUUCCCCCUCUUCCUCCAAGCCGCCGUGUUGCCUGUGGCUCUCGCUGGCCGUGCUGACGAUGGGCGUGGUGUCUGUGCUGCUUGGGGGCGUAUGCCUCGUGCGAUGGCGAUGGGAAACAGGAGAACUCGCAGGGGACUGCGCGGAGAAAACGAUGUAGUCCAAUUAGAACUCGUGGUCGUGGCUAGUCCAACAGGGUACGAAUAUGGCAAUCGACAUUUUCUAUCAAUAUAGAAUUUGCCUGUCGAUAAUAAUUUGCAUUUGCAGGGCACUCGCUUAAAUGCUGCAGCUACUCGAAGUACCCAACGUCAUAUCUCAACCACUCCAAUGCAGUAUCGGGAGACGUCUAGUAGCAGAUGUCUUUAUUACACAAAUUGUAUGCAACCCAAUUGAACAUCCUUAUCCUAAAACGCUAUCGGCUUCCCAGAAAGUGGAAUUGAUUGCAUUAAACCCCGGGGAAUUAUGGGUUAUGUUGACUUCUGGAUGAUAUUUUUAACUUGCAAUGUUCUGAUUCCUUCAAGUGCUAACCAAUGCUCUACCCAUUCAGACAAAUUUAACACAUAAUGCAUGUCAUAUAAAGCAACUAAAUACGACUGCUUCAAUCCAAUUGUAACUCUCACAAGACUUCCUAAUCUCAUCAUGCCCCUUCCCUGCUCCCCCUUAAUGUACAGUAUACUAUUGUUUGUAGGGAAUUAUUUUAAGAGCUGUUCAAGAAUGAUGCAUAGUCAAUUUGCACAGUGACAUUCUUACUUUAUAUCUAUAUUUCAUGAAGUCAAAGCAUAGUGGAUGUUAUUUUAGA